AUUGAACGCUGGCGGAAUGCUUUACACAUGCAAGUCGAACGGCAGCACGGGGCAACCUGGUGGCGAGUGGCGAACGGGUGAGUAAUACAUCGGAACGUGCCCAAUCGUGGGGGAUAACGUAGCGAAAGUUACGCUAAUACCGCAUACGAUCUACGGAUGAAAGCGGGGAUCGCAAGACCUCGCGCGAAUGGAGCGGCCGAUGUCAGAUUAGGUAGUUGGUGGGGGUAAAGGCUCACCAAGCCGACGAUCUGUAGCUGGUCUGAGAGGACGGACCAGCCACACUGGACUGA
RNAcentral lists this ribosomal RNA (290 nucleotides) under uncultured bacterium. RNAcentral's name for it is "partial 16S ribosomal RNA". It matches the Rfam family "Bacterial small subunit ribosomal RNA", at positions 30 to 322 of the family's 1533-position model. The record is from RNAcentral.